GUAUGAAUGGCUAAAUGAGGGCCCAACUGUCUCCUGUGACUAAUCAAUGAACCUGAUCUUCUAGUACAAAAGCUAGGAUAAACCCAUAAGACGAGAAGACCCUGUGGAGCUUAAAAUAGUUAUACUAACAACCAACUACGCCAACAGGCCCACCAAACAAAAUAGUAUGCAUUUUUAGUUGGGGCGACUGCGGAAUUAAACGCAACUUCCACGACACAGGCCAAAUACCUAACUAAGGUCAACAAACCAACACACAUUUGACCCAGUAAUACUGAUCAACGAACCAAGUUACCCCAGGGAUAACAGCGCCAUCCUCUUCAAGAGCCCAUAUCGCCAAGAGGGUUUACGACCUCGAUGUUGGAUCAGGACCCCCAGGCGGUGCAACCGUGCCAAUGGUUCGUUUG
Molecule: ribosomal RNA, 404 nt
Filed under: Sphaerodactylus copei
Lineage: Eukaryota; Metazoa; Chordata; Lepidosauria; Squamata; Sphaerodactylidae
Description: partial 16S ribosomal RNA
Rfam family: Bacterial large subunit ribosomal RNA
Source: RNAcentral